Molecule: ribosomal RNA, 496 nt
Filed under: Citrobacter amalonaticus
Lineage: Bacteria; Pseudomonadati; Pseudomonadota; Gammaproteobacteria; Enterobacterales; Enterobacteriaceae
Description: partial 23S ribosomal RNA
Rfam family: Bacterial large subunit ribosomal RNA
Source: RNAcentral
UUCUGUAAGCCUGUGAAGGUGUGCUGUGAGGCAUGCUGGAGGUAUCAGAAGUGCGAAUGCUGACAUAAGUAACGAUAAAGCGGGUGAAAAGCCCGCUCGCCGGAAGACCAAGGGUUCCUGUCCAACGUUAAUCGGGGCAGGGUGAGUCGACCCCUAAGGCGAGGCCGAAAGGCGUAGUCGAUGGGAAACAGGUUAAUAUUCCUGUACCAGGUGUUACUGCGAAGGGGGGACGGAGAAGGCUAUGUUGGCCGGGCGACGGUUGUCCCGGUUUAAGCGUGUAGGUGUGUGUUCCAGGUAAAUCCGGUUCACUUUAACACUGAGGCGUGAUGACGAGGCACUACGGUGCUGAAGCAACAAAUGCCCUGCUUCCAGGAAAAGCCUCUAAGCAUCAGGUAACAUCAGAUCGUACCCCAAACCGACACAGGUGGUCAGGUAGAGAAUACCAAGGCGCUUGAGAGAACUCGGGUGAAGGAACUAGGCAAAAUGGUGCCGUAAC